GGAGGGGAGUGCGCUAGGGAAAGAAAGAUGGAGAAUGGUAGAGAGUGAGCCGUUUUCUCUCGGAGUUUCGAGGGCUCUUCUGCUCUCCGUUCCCUUGUGGGAGCGCUGAACCCUUGAGCACCCUCGGGGACAGGAAGAAGGCGGUGGGAGAGCAGCAUUUGUCCUCGGCGCUGGAGCAGUGGACAGAUCUCAGAUCCCGGCUCCCGGCUCCUGGAUCCAGGCUCCAGGAUUUUGGGGCGCCGUUCACCGCCAAGGAGUGCACCAGUUCUCCAAGACCACAGGCAGAGCAGUUGUCAUACCAUGUCGUGAUGAGUCUGGAUAGGAUCUUUCGGUGGUGCAUCAAUGAAAACUGGCUCCAUCACAGUCACAAGCCUCCCCACCAGUGAGGACAUCCAUCAUUAAGGACCACGGGAGAACUGUCCGUGUGUGUGCAGAUGGCAGGGCAGAAGGGAGGAAAGUCUUUCUGUUGUUUUGUUGCUUGUGUUCAUUUGUUCUGUUUUGUUACACUCUCUGUUCUACUGAACAUUGUAGGCCUGUAAUGUUGGCACCAGAACAUGUGGUGACACUUAGCUGUCCCAGCACAUCUUUAGAUGUAACACACGAAAUGCUGGAGGAUCUCAGCAUCUACGGAAAUGAAUAAAGUGCCGAUGUUUCAGGCCGAGACCAUUCCUUGGCCUGGGAAAAGAAGGGGGAAGACACCAGAAUAAGAAGGAGGGAGGAGGGGAAAGAGGACAAACUAGAAAUGAUUGGUGGGUAGAAAAGGAAAGGGCUGGAGAAGAAGGUAUCUGAGAAGAGAGAAGAGUGGACCGUGGAAAAAAGGGAAGAAGGAGAGGCACCAGGGGAAGGUGAUAGUCAGGUGAGGGAAAGAGUGGGGAAUAGAAGAGGGAAGGGCAAGGGAAAGGUUUUGUUAUAUCAGAAGGAGAGAUCAAUGUUCAUGCUACCAAGUUGGAGGCUACCCAGACGGAUCUGAAGUUUUGCUCCUCCGCCCUGAGAGUGGCCUUAUUGUGGCAAAAGAUAAAGCCCUGGACAGACAUGUUGAAACAAGAAUGGGGUUAGGAAUUAAAAUGAUGGGCCACUGGGAAAUUCCUCUGGGCAGAUAGAGUGGAUGUACUCAACAAAGCAAUCCUUUGUGUCAAGAACCAACGCAUCCUUAGGUUGUUAACACAAAUGACACAUUUCACUCACUGCAUGUCAACAUGUACAGGAACAUUAAAAUAUGAAUCUGAAUCUGACCCUCGCCAUCCAGGACUUGCCCUUUUCUCAAUACUACCAUCAGGGAGGAGGUACAGGAGCCUGAAGACGCACACUUUAGGAACAGCUUAUUCCCCUCCACCAUCAGAUUUCUGAACUUGGUGGGUAAUAAGUGGGGAACAAUGCAGACAGGGGUUCCAGAGCUGUGGAAGGAGAGAGACAGAGAUGGAAAAGGUAGGGAGGGAGGGAAAAGAACCCGAGGAUGAUAUACAAGGCAGAGGGAGAUAGGCUCCCAGAUGGGAAGAGCAGUGAAAGGGACAGAGAGGCACGUCCUGUCCCUAAUAGAGUGGCCACUGAGUGUUUGUUUGGCAUCUCCUGCAGCUGUAGCCCAUCCACUUCAAGGUCUGAAAUUUUAUGCAUCCAGAGGUGCCCCUCUGCACACCACUGUAACAUAUAGUUAUCUGAGUUUUUGAGUUCCCGUUGCCUUGCUGUCAGCUUGAGCCAGACUGGCCGUUCUCCUCUGACCUCUCUCAUUAACAGGUAUUUUCACCCACAAAACUGCUGUGCACUGGAUUUUGUUUUUUGCACUAUUCUCUGUAAACUCCAGAGACCGUUGUGUGUUGAAAUACCAGGAGAUCAGCAGUUUCUGAGAUACUCAAACCACCCUGUCUGGCACCACCAGUCAUCUCAUGGUCAAAGUCACUUAGAUCACAUUUCUUCCCCAUUGUGAUGUUUGGUCUGAAAACAAAUGAAUCUCUGACCACGUCUGCAUGUUUUUUAUGAAUUAAGUUGCUGCCUGAAGAUUGGCUGAUUAGGUACUUGCAUUGAUGAGUAGGCAUACCUAAUAAAGUGGCCACUGAGUGUAUUUGUCUUCUUAUGCGCAGUAGUUCUUUGUUGAUCUUUAUAUAUAAUAUACAAAUAUAGAUUUUUGUAAAUUCUGUUGUAUUUCUAUAUUUUUCUAUAAAUGCCUACAAGAAAAUGAGUAUGAUGUCCAUAUAUGAUUAUAUAUGAUAAAUAUAGAUGAUAAAGAUUAUAUGAUAAAGAUUAAAGCAACCUGGUCCUAAUGAGAGAUCUUGGCCUGAAGUAUCAACUGUUUACUCCCUAGAUGCUGCCUGUCCUGCUGAGUUUUUCCGGAAUUUUGUAUUUGUAACUCAGGAUUUCCUACAUCUGCAAAAUCUCUUAUGUUGAAGAUAAAGAUUAGAUUUGUUUGUUACAUGUACAGUACUUCGAAAUACAGAAUGAAAUGCAUCAUUUCCUGCAAAUCAAAUCAACAAGGACUGUGCUGGGCAGCCUGCACAUGGCGCCACACUUCCAACACCUACAUAGCAUCCUACAGCUUACUAACCCUAAACAUACGUCUUUUGGAUGAUGGGAGGAAAUCAGAGCAGCUAGAGGAAGCCCACAGUCACAGGGAGAAUGUACAAACUCCUUAUCCUUACAGACAGCGACAGAACUGGAACCUGAUCUUAUGGCUGGCACUGUACAGCGUUAUGCUACCAAUCAACUGAACUUAGAUAAUAAAUUUUACUUUGACUUUGACUUUCAAUGACCCUCUGACGCAUACUGCAUUCUCAGUGCCUCCCUUGCUUCUCUGUACCUCCCUCACCUACUGUACCCUCUGGGUAUCACUGGAUCCCCUGUACCCACCAUCUCACAUGGCUUGAGCAGUUUGCUCCUUUUGAAAUCUCAUUUUAAGUUCAAGUUUAUUGUCAUUUCAACCAUACAUACGUAUACCACCAAACGACAACAUUCCUCCGGACCAAGGUGCACAACAUGUAUAGCACACAUAACUUACACACAACACGUACAGCACACAUAACUCACAACAUGUACAGUACAUAUAACUCACAACACAUACAGCACAUAUAACUCACACACAACAUACAUAUAAUUCACACACAACGUGUACAGCACAUAUAACACACACAACAUGUACAACACAUAACUCACGCAACACGUACAGUACAUAUAUCUCACACACAACACGAACAUUACAUAUAUCUCACACAACACGAACAGUACAUAUAACUCACACACAACACAAACAGUAUGCAUAACUCACACACAACAUGUACAGUACACAUAACUCACAACACAUACAGUACAUAACUCACACAUGUACAGUACAUAUACCUCACACACAUGUAGAGUAUGCAUAACACAUGUGUGCAGUACAUAACUCACACAACACAUACGGUACAUAUAAAUCACACACAACAGGUGCAGUACACAUAACACAACACGUACAGUACAUAUAACACACACAACACAUAACUCACACACAACACGUACAGUACAUAACUCACACAUGUACAGUACAUAUACCUCACAAAACAUGUACAGUAUGCAUAACACACAUGUGCAGUACAUAACUCACACAACACAUACAGUACAUAUAAAUCACACACAACACGUAUAGCACACAUAACUUACACACAACACGUACAGCACACAUAACUCACAACAUGUACAGUACAUAUAACUCACAACAUACAGCACAUAUAACUCACACACAACAUACAUAUAAUUCACACACAACGUGUACAGCACAUAUAACACACACAACGUGUACAACACAUAACUCACGCAACACGUACAGUACAUAUAUCUCACACACAACACGAACAUUACAUAUAUCUCACACAACACGAACAGUACAUAUAACUCACACACAACACAAACAGUAUGCAUAACUCACACACAACAUGUACAGUACAUAACUCACAACAUGUACAGUACAUAUAACUCACACACAACAUGAACAGUACACAUAACUCACACACAACAUGUACAGUACACAUAACUCACAACACAUACAGUACAUAACUCACACAUGUACAGUACAUAUACCUCACACACAUGUAGAGUAUGCAUAACACAUGUGUGCAGUACAUAACUCACACAACACGCACAGUACAUAUAACUCACACAACACGUACAGUACACAUAACUCACACAACACAUACAGUACAUAUAACUCACACAACACGUACAGUACACAUAACACACACAACACAUACAGUACAUAACUCACACAGCAUGUACAGUACACAUAACACACACAACACGAACAGUACACAUAACUCACACAACACGAACAGUACAUAUAACUCACAAACAACAUGUACAGUACACACAACUCACAAACAACAUGUACAGUACACAUAACACACACAACACAUACAGUACACAUAACACACACAACACGUACAGUACACAUAGCUCACACACAACACAUACAGUACAUAUAACUCACAAACACAUACAGUACACAUAAUGCACACAACACGAACAGUACACAUAACUCACACACAACACGUACAGUGCAUAUAACUCACAAACAACACGUACAGUACACAUAACACACACAACACGUACAGUACACAUAACUCACACAACACAUACAGUACAUAUAACUCACACAACACGUACAGUACACAUAACACACACAACACAUACAGUACAUAACUCACACAGCAUGUACAGUACACAUAACACACACAACACGAACAGUACACAUAACUCACACAACACGAACAGUACAUAUAACUCACAAACAACAUGUACAGUACACACAACUCACAAACAACAUGUACAGUACACAUAACACACACAACACAUACAGUACACAUAACACACACAACACGUACAGUACACAUAGCUCACACACAACACAUACAGUACAUAUAACUCACAAACACAUACAGUACACAUAAUGCACACAACACGAACAGUACACAUAACUCACACACAACACGUACAGUGCAUAUAACUCACAAACAACACGUACAGUACACAUAACACACACAACACGUACAGUACACAUAACUCACAAACAACACGUACAGUAAACAUAACACACACAACACGAACAGUACACAUAACUCACACACAACACGAACAGUGCAUAUAACUCACAAACAACAUGUACAGUACACAUAACACACAGCACACACAGUACACAUAACUCACACACAACACAUACAGUACACAUAACUCACAAACAACACAUACAGUACACAUAACUCACAAACAACAUGUACAGUGCACAUAACACACACAACACGAACAGUACACAUAACUCACACACAACAUGAACAGUACACAUAACACACACAAGACAUACAGUACACAUAACACAUACAGUACAUAACACACAGAACACAUACAGAACACAUAAGACACAAACAAAAUGUACAGUACACAUAACUCACAAACAACACAUACAGUACAUAUAAUUCAUAAACAACACAUACAGUACACAUAACACACACAGCACGAACAGUACAUAUAACACACACAACAUGAACAGUACAUAACACACACACAACACAUACAGUACACAUAACACACACAACAUGAACAGUACACAUAACACAUACAGUAAUAUUAUAGAAUCAGGUUCACUAUCACUGGCAUAUGUCAUGAAAUUUGAUGUUUUACGGCAGCAGUAAAUUGUAAUAAUAAUAAUAAAUUACAAUAAGUAGAAAUUAAAAAAUUAAAUUAAAUUAAUAGUGCAAAAAGAGAGGGGAAAAUACUGAGGUAGUGUUCAUGGAUUCAUUGUCCAUUCAGAAAUCUGAUGGUGAGGGGAAGCAACUGUUCCUGAAACACUGAGUGUGUCUUCAGGCUCCUAUGCUGCAAUGAGAAGAGGGCAUGUCCUGGGUGAUACAAGUCCUUACUGACAGAUGCCACAAAUAAAUUACCGUAACAAAUAAUAGAUGCACUUAUGGCACAAGUUCUAAAGUAAACUGUGUAACACUAGUGGUGCUUCAUUCAUGGUGAGACCUAGCUGAUGGCAGGGAGUUCAGUAGUCUUAUGGCCUUGGGGAAGAAGUUGUUUUCCAUCCUAACCAUUCUUGUCCUAAUGCUACGGUACCUCCUGCCUGAUGGUAGGGCUGAAAGAGAUUGUUGAUAGAUGGGAGGGAUCACUGACAAUACUAAGG
This is an RNA transcript of Mobula hypostoma (lesser devil ray), 6133 nucleotides long. It is a transcript of the gene named potassium voltage-gated channel subfamily A member 2-like, with no coding region annotated. Lineage: Eukaryota; Metazoa; Chordata; Chondrichthyes; Myliobatiformes; Myliobatidae. The record is from RefSeq and is a predicted model, not a curated record. The transcript is spliced from 4 exons.